Molecule: long non-coding RNA, 503 nt
Filed under: Rattus norvegicus (Norway rat)
Lineage: Eukaryota; Metazoa; Chordata; Mammalia; Rodentia; Muridae
Description: long non-coding RNA NONRATT017785
Source: RNAcentral
GCCUUCAUUUUCAUUACAUUCUAAAAAGUCUUUAAUUUCUUUCUUUAUUUCUUCCUUGACCACGUUAGCAUUGAGUAAAGAGUUGUUCAACUUCCAUGUGUAUGUGUGCUCUAUGUGAUUUUUGCUGUUAUUGAAGUCUAUGGUGAUCUGAUAGGAUGCAUGGGAUUAUUUCCAUCUUCUUGUAUCUGUUGAAGCCGGUUUUAUGACUGAUUAUAUGGCCAGUUUUGGAGAAGGAAACAUGAGGUACUGAAAAGAAGGUAUAUUCUUUUGUUUUAAGAUGAAAUGUUCUAUAAGAAUCUAUUAAGGCCAUUUGGUUCAUAACUGUGGUUAGUUGUACUGUGUCUCUGUUUAGUUUCUGUUUCUAUGAUCUGUCUAUUGACGAGAAUUGGGUGUUGAAGAUUGACAGGAAAUGCAUGAAUAUGCAUUCCUGAAUCUCUACAUGAACUAUUGUGGUUUUCCGCCUAUGUGCCUUGUAAAAGACUUCUGGGACAGGCAGGAACUGG